RNAcentral lists this ribosomal RNA (158 nucleotides) under uncultured bacterium. RNAcentral's name for it is "partial 16S ribosomal RNA". It matches the Rfam family "Bacterial small subunit ribosomal RNA", at positions 1329 to 1500 of the family's 1533-position model. The record is from RNAcentral.
GAAUUGCUAGUAAUCACAGGUCAGCAUACUGUGGUGAAUACGUUCCCGGGCCUUGUACACACCGCCCGUCACACCAUGAGAGUUGAGAAUACCCGAAGCCCAUGUCAAAGUGGUCGAAGGUAGGCUUGAUGAUUGGGGUGAAGUCGUAACAAGGUAUC